GUGCUCGCUUCGGCAGCACAUACACUAAAAUUGGAACGAUACAGAGAAGCCUGGGUCACUGCCCAAUGGGACUCUCUAGCGAUGCCUACAAGGAAAACAUAAAUUU
This 106-nucleotide small nuclear RNA is filed under the name Mustela putorius furo (domestic ferret). The record is from RNAcentral. Lineage: Eukaryota; Metazoa; Chordata; Mammalia; Carnivora; Mustelidae.